GGGUGGUUAGCUCAGUUGGUACGAGCACUGCCUUCACACGGCAGGGGUCACUGGUUCGAGUCCAGUACCACCCACCA
Molecule: transfer RNA, 77 nt
Filed under: Azovibrio sp.
Lineage: Bacteria; Pseudomonadati; Pseudomonadota; Betaproteobacteria; Rhodocyclales; Rhodocyclaceae
Also listed under: 1 other name
Description: tRNA-Val
Rfam family: tRNA
About the family: Transfer RNA (tRNA) molecules are approximately 80 nucleotides in length. Their secondary structure includes four short double-helical elements and three loops (D, anti-codon, and T loops).
Source: RNAcentral